UCUUGACGUAACCCAUAGAAGAAGCACCGGCUAACUCUGUGCCAGCAGCCGCGGUAAUACAGAGGGUGCAAGCGUUAAUCGGAAUUACUGGGCGUAAAGCGCGCGUAGGCGGCUUUGCAAGUCGGGUGUGAAAUCCCCAGGCUUAACCUGGGAACUGCAUUCGAGACUGCAUUGCUAGAGUAUGGGAGAGGGAAGUGGAAUUUUCCGGUGUAGCGGUGAAAUGCGUAGAUAUCGGAAAGGAACAUCAGUGGCGAAAGCGACUUCCUGGACCAAUACUGACGCUCAUGUGCGAAAGCGUGGGGAGCAAAACAGGAUUAGAUACCCCUGGUAGUCCACGCCAUAAAACGAUGAGAAACUGGAUGUCAGGAGGGUCUGCCUCUCGGUGUCGUAGCUAACGCGUUAAGUUCUCCGC
RNAcentral lists this ribosomal RNA (412 nucleotides) under uncultured bacterium. RNAcentral's name for it is "bacterial SSU rRNA". It matches the Rfam family "Bacterial small subunit ribosomal RNA", at positions 467 to 872 of the family's 1533-position model. The record is from RNAcentral.